UACGUAGGGUGCGAGCGUUGUCCGGAAUUAUUGGGCGUAAAGGGCUCGUAGGCGGUUUGUCGCGUCGGGAGUGAAAUCCACUGGCUUAACUGGUGGCUUGCUUUCGAUACGGGCAGACUGGAGGUAUGCAGGGGAGAACGGAAUUCCUGGUGUAGCGGUGAAAUGCGCAGAUAUCAGGAAGAACACCAAUGGCGAAGGCAGCUCUCUGGGACGGUACUGACACUGAGACGCGAAAGCGUGGGGAGCGAACAGG
RNAcentral lists this ribosomal RNA (253 nucleotides) under uncultured bacterium. RNAcentral describes it as "partial 16S ribosomal RNA". It matches the Rfam family "Bacterial small subunit ribosomal RNA", at positions 524 to 776 of the family's 1533-position model. The record is from RNAcentral.